CCCGAGUGGAGGAAUGGUAGACGCAGGGGACACAAAAUCACCCGCCUCAAGGCUUCUCGGUUCGAGUCCGACCUCGGGCA
This 80-nucleotide transfer RNA is filed under the name Gemmobacter sp. RNAcentral describes it as "tRNA-Leu". Lineage: Bacteria; Pseudomonadati; Pseudomonadota; Alphaproteobacteria; Rhodobacterales; Paracoccaceae. The record is from RNAcentral.